Molecule: non-coding RNA, 2482 nt
Organism: Cyanistes caeruleus (blue tit)
Lineage: Eukaryota; Metazoa; Chordata; Aves; Passeriformes; Paridae
Source: RefSeq, a predicted model, not a curated record
CAAAUCUGCACAUACUUGUUUAUUUUUAUGUAUGUAUUAAUGUGUGUUUCACUUCAGGUUUUAAAAGAGGUGCAGAUCCUGGAAUGCCUGAACCAACUAUCUGGAGUUUACUUUGGGGCUGAAGGCUGUGCUGGUCCUGUUGUAGAUGCAGCCGAUGGACAGUGUCAGAAGAUACGUACAUUCCAGAGGAUGAGGCCGACACUUAGACCAGCUGGAUCAAACAGCUUGCUAAUGGCAUAGGUUGUACAUACAACAAAAUGACAUUUAUAUGGACCUAACUUAUUUGCAUUACGGUGUAAUUAAAUAAAUACUGUUUGAAUGGAUACACAUUGGUUUUAAGUCUUUACAUAAUAUAAUGUAGUAGUUUAUUUGUUACAGAAGCCCAUGGUGGAGGUUUUCUUUUGUUGUGUUUUUUUCCAAAAUACAGUGAUAUUUAACGCCUAUACUUAUCCUUGAUAAUGAUUGCCUUUUGGGUAAAGAUUCCUCUUUAUCUUUACAGUAACCAGAAAAUUGAGCUAAUGUUUUAAAUUAGCUCCAGUAUUCUUCAAAGGUUCCUUGCCCAAAUAUUGGUAAGCCUGUGUGGCUGGUUACUGUGCUGAUCCACUUUGGGUUUUUUAUCUCCUUCUGGAUUAUUUUAUCUGUGGAUACAGUAAGGAUUGAGGGAUGUGUAUAUUUGUGUUUUCUAGCACAGUCAGAUAUUAAAAAAAAUCUUUUUUUGCUAAACUUACCUAUAAAUGCCAUCUGUAUUUUCUGGGAUUCAGGAUGGGGUGGGAAGACAGAACAGUUGAGUGCUCUGUGUAUAUCUGUAUAAAUUGCUCUUAGUGUAAGAGAAAGUUACUAAUGUAUAACUGAAGGAAGAAAAUAAGUACACUAAAUAAGGUAUGUGCUUCAUUGUUAUGCUGGAGUCUUGCUCUUUGGACCAUGGUUGUUUUGGUCUCAAUAGAUUUUUUCCUUUUUAACACUGAAGUUCAAGUGCCAAAAUGGUGACUGGUUUCUGUUAAAUAGAAGCUGUUCUGGGUAAAUUGCUCUCUCCUUUCCAGAACUGUGCAGGGUAGUUUGUAUCUCUGUGGUGAUUUUUAAAAAAUAAUGUUUAUUGGCCCCAAAUCAUCAUUGCAACAAAGGUAUUCUGGAUUCUGGCAUGGCUUUUUUUCUUUAAUUCCACAGAUUUUCAGGCAGUUUUUACAUUAUAUGUUUAAGAAUAGGAGAUUGCUCAGUUUUUCGUCUGCCAUGACAAUUCAUGGUAAAACAUUACUGUGUUUAAGGGCUGUGAUUGGAAAAAGAGAGAGAAAUGAGCCGAGGGAAAAAACUUAAAUUGAAAGGCAAGAAUUGGAUAGAAAAAAGUGAAAACUUUUAUGAGAGCUAAUACAAAUCAGCAUGUUCUUUAAAAUUCCAUUAAUCACUAUAAGUCAGUCAAAUGCCUUGAAAUACUGGCAUGACUAAUGCUAAUAGACUGCUGACAGUGGAACAGAGCAAGGACUGGAUGCAGAACAGUUUCUUGUGACCGUAUAUCCUUUUGCUAGUGCAGCCUUUCUAGUGCCUUUUCUCUUACAGUAACUUGAGAUUAAUGUAACUGCUCAUAUGUCUUAAAUUAUGAAAGAAAUUAAUUUUUUGAUUAUUUUUCUUGACUGAUCCUAAUGAUAAUAAUAAUGAAAUAAUCUGUUGGUAUGUGGUGGUGGCUUUAAUCAUGAUAGGAACAGUUGAGUUCCAUGCAGUAACAUGAGAUAUUCAAUACUAAGAGAUACAGUAUUUGGUGUGAAAUAACUCAUCUUUCUCAAUCAGAUUUUGCAUUUCACACGGGUGUACAAUACCCAGAAUGCAGCAGUGGGUGGAAGGACACAAACACCUGCAGAAGUGUAUUUCAUGUGCUCUGUUGUAUGUCUCACAUUUGGGGAUGUGGUUUGUGGGUCGUAACCACCACAUGGUUCCUCUGGCUGCUUUCCAAGAAAGAUAAUAUUUUGCAAGAGGUAGAGAAAUAGGGAAGUGUUUCCUCUUUCAUUAAAAGUUUUACAAAAGCAUGCAUAUGUCAAGCACAGGCCAGAUUCUGUGACGUCUCUAUGCUGGAAGUUCAUCAUGAAAAUAGUUGCAUUUCAGGUUUUUUGCAACUUGGAAUCAAUGGAUAAAUAUUGCUUAUGCAAUUCUUACUUUAAGCACUUUGGAUAGGAAAUUUUUGGUAAUUCACUGCUACUGUAGUAUGUUUCAGGAAAGUCAUUAGCAUAGAACUCUUGGGUUUUCAAAUUGAGGAGAAAGAAGUCUCUUAUAGUACCUUCAAAUCAGGUUAAAUUAAAUGCCAGUAUGUAGUAUAAUGUUUUUUGUUUAUAUGUCCCAACUUUCAUUCCAUAUAGUGCUCUUCCUGUAAUUAAAAUGUGAGUGAAAAUUCUCCUUAAAUAAACAUUUAUAUUUUUCCCUGGUGGAAAAAAAAAAAAAAAAGAAUAGGUAUGAAUCAUUAAAUCUUGGUAAUUAAUUGUAAGGUAGCAAAAAAAAA